RNAcentral lists this ribosomal RNA (398 nucleotides) under uncultured bacterium. Its description in RNAcentral is "bacterial SSU rRNA". It matches the Rfam family "Bacterial small subunit ribosomal RNA", at positions 30 to 429 of the family's 1533-position model. The record is from RNAcentral.
AUUGAACGCUGGCGGCAGGCCUAACACAUGCAAGUCGAGCGGUAGAGAGGUGCUUGCAUCUCUUGAGAGCGGCGGACGGGUGAGUAAUGCCUGGGAAAUUGCCCCAGUCGAGGGGGGAUAACAGUUGGAAACGACUGCUAAUACCGCAUACGCCCUACGGGGAAAGCAGGGACCUUCGGGCCUUGCGCGAUUGGAUAUGCCCAGGUGGGAUUAGCUUGUUGGUGAGGUAAUGGCUCACCAAGGCGACCGAUCCCUAGCUGGUCUGAGAGGAUGAUCAGCCACACUGGAACUGAGACACGGUCCAGACUCCCUACGGGAGGCAGCAGUGGGGAAUAUUAGCACAAUGGGGGAAACCCUGAUGCAGCCAUGCCGCGUGUGUGAAGAAGGCCUGGUGUAAG